GUCGUUUUCUAACUUUCAUAUUGACAAUAAAAUAUAUUCCUUGUUUCCCUCAACAGAGGGAGCCUUAUUAUUGCAUCCAAAAAGAAAUUACCUCUGGUAUACGUACAUCCAAACACACUGUUAAAAUAGCCUGACCAUAGACAUUUUCUUCUUUCUGUUUAUUUUUUCUUUCUUUAAUUUUGCCCUGCAAAACCAUAUCAAACUAUUUGCAAAUCAUGUUCAAGAAAUUGUAUUAAAAGUACAUUUAGUGUCGUACAAGAUCAAACUCACUCUCGAAAUUGGGAAGAAUCAACUCAAAAAAGUCUUUGUGUGACUAGUGUUACACAGAAGUGUUGGGUGAUCAUUGUUCCGUCCUUUGUUCUCCAUAGUAAUUGGGGAUCAAAAAGCACCAAAUUAUAUUUUACAAGAAAAUAUUAUCCUCUCCGCCCU
This 429-nucleotide long non-coding RNA is filed under the name Brassica napus (rape). RNAcentral describes it as "long non-coding RNA (BNAP_LNC019721)". Lineage: Eukaryota; Viridiplantae; Streptophyta; Magnoliopsida; Brassicales; Brassicaceae. The record is from RNAcentral.